RNAcentral lists this small nuclear RNA (103 nucleotides) under Sciurus vulgaris (Eurasian red squirrel). Lineage: Eukaryota; Metazoa; Chordata; Mammalia; Rodentia; Sciuridae. The record is from RNAcentral.
UUGCUUUGGCGGCACAUAUACUAAAAUUGGAACCAUACAGAGAAGAUUAGCAUGGCCCCUGUGCAAGGAUGACAUGCAAAUUUGAGAAGUGUUCCAUAUUUUU